Non-coding RNA from Vicia faba (fava bean), 207 nucleotides. The record is from the annotation of a GenBank genome assembly. Lineage: Eukaryota; Viridiplantae; Streptophyta; Magnoliopsida; Fabales; Fabaceae.
AUGUCUAAAUCAUCAACUCCAAAUUUUCAUGUUUUAAAUGCUAAGAAUGCUGUUGAAUCUCUUAAAUCUGUAUUAAGAACAAAUCCAUGGGAAGGUGCUGAUCAUUUGGAGAUUAUACCAGCUUCUACGGUGGCAUCAUUGCUUAUUGAUAUUGUGCCGAUUUCUGAUAGCGAUGGUUCGGUUCAUGUAGUUAACGUUGCUGAAUGA